Molecule: ribosomal RNA, 248 nt
Filed under: uncultured bacterium
Lineage: Bacteria
Description: partial 16S ribosomal RNA
Rfam family: Bacterial small subunit ribosomal RNA
Source: RNAcentral
AUACGGAGGAUCCGAGCGUUAUCCGGAUUUAUUGGGUUUAAAGGGUGCGCAGGCGGGAACUUAAGUCAGCGGUGAAAUCUCGACGCUUAACGUCGAAACUGCCGUUGAAAACUGGGUUUCUUGAGUAUAGAUGAAGUAGGCGGAAUUCGUUGUGUAGCGGUGACAUGCUUAGAUAUAACGAGGAACUCCGAUUGCGUAGGCAGCUUACUAAGCUAUAACUGACGCUCAAGCACGAAAGCGUGGGGAUC